UACGGAGGGUGCGAGCGUUGUCCGGAAUCAUUGGGCGUAAAGAGCUCGUAGGCGGUGUGUCGCGUCGGCCGUGAAAACCUGGGGCUCAACUCUGGGCGUGCGGUCGAUACGGGCAUCACUUGAGUUCGGCAGGGGAGACUGGAAUUCCUGGUGUAGCGGUGAAAUGCGCAGAUAUCAGGAGGAACACCGGUGGCGAAGGCGGGUCUCUGGGCCGAUACUGACGCUGAGGAGCGAAAGCAUGGGUAGCGAACAGG
Molecule: ribosomal RNA, 254 nt
Filed under: uncultured bacterium
Lineage: Bacteria
Description: partial 16S ribosomal RNA
Rfam family: Bacterial small subunit ribosomal RNA
Source: RNAcentral